UACGUAGGGUGCAAGCGUUAAUCGGAAUUACUGGGCGUAAAGCGUGCGCAGGCGGUUAUGUGAGACAGGGGUGAAAUCCCCGGGCUUAACCUGGGAACUGCAUUUGUGACUGCAUAGCUAGAGUACGGUAGAGGGGGAUGGAAUUCCGCGUGUAGCAGUGAAAUGCGUAGAUAUGCGGAGGAACACCGAUGGCGAAGGCAAUCCCCUGGACCUGUACUGACGCUCAUGCACGAAAGCGUGGGGAGCAAACAGG
RNAcentral lists this ribosomal RNA (253 nucleotides) under uncultured bacterium. RNAcentral describes it as "partial 16S ribosomal RNA". It matches the Rfam family "Bacterial small subunit ribosomal RNA", at positions 524 to 776 of the family's 1533-position model. The record is from RNAcentral.